Long non-coding RNA from Mya arenaria, 278 nucleotides. RefSeq lists it as uncharacterized. The transcript has 3 exons. The record is from RefSeq and is a predicted model, not a curated record. NCBI's taxonomy places the organism in Eukaryota, Metazoa, Mollusca, Bivalvia, Myida, Myidae.
CAGCCUGGUUGCUGUAGCCACAGAGGAAUUUUCAAGGACAAGAACCAGUGCUGGUAAAACUGUGGUCUCGUGUGGUUUUCCAUACCGGCUCUCGGCAAGGAUUUUCAAGAAAGGAAUACCAUCUCCAAAUCAUGAUGUGCCAAUAAGCUCCAGUUAGCUGCGGCCUUUUCCCCAGGCGGUAGUCCUGCAAUCUGAAUCCAGGAGAUGCAGCUCUGAAUCCAAUAUUUCAGAAGAAUGAAGAUGAAGCAGACCCAGGAGGAACUGUCUGUUGAAGACCC